GGGGCUGCCCUGGUUUCGACGUGGGUUCGGAGUCGGCGUGGUGCAUGUCGAGCUUGAGUGGCGCUCGUAAAUCUGCAUUCAAA
RNAcentral lists this transfer-messenger RNA (83 nucleotides) under Burkholderiaceae bacterium. RNAcentral describes it as "partial transfer-messenger RNA". It matches the Rfam family "transfer-messenger RNA", at positions 1 to 82 of the family's 374-position model. Rfam says of the family: Bacterial tmRNA, also known as 10Sa RNA or SsrA, is named for its dual tRNA and mRNA-like properties. Its role is to liberate the mRNA from a stalled ribosome. To accomplish this part of the tmRNA is used as a reading frame that ends in a translation stop signal. Lineage: Bacteria; Pseudomonadati; Pseudomonadota; Betaproteobacteria; Burkholderiales; Burkholderiaceae. The record is from RNAcentral.